RNAcentral lists this ribosomal RNA (332 nucleotides) under uncultured bacterium. RNAcentral describes it as "bacterial SSU rRNA". It matches the Rfam family "Bacterial small subunit ribosomal RNA", at positions 568 to 898 of the family's 1533-position model. The record is from RNAcentral.
CGCGUAGGCGGUUUUUUAAGUCAGAUGUGUAAUCCCCGGGCUCAACCUGGGAACUGCAUCUGAGACUGGAAGGCUAGAGUACUGGAGAGGGUGGUGGAAUUCCUCGUGUAGCGGUGAAAUGCGUAGAGAUGAGGAGGAACACCAGUGGCGAAGGCGGCCACCUGGACAGUAACUGACGCUGAGGCGCGAAAGUGUGGGUAGCAAACAGGAUUAGAUACCCUGGUAGUCCACGCUGUAAACGAUGAACACUUGGUGUGGAGGGAGUUGACCCCUUCCGUGCCGGAGCUAACGCGUUAAGUGUUCCGCCUGGGGAGUACGGUCGCAAGGCUGAA